RNAcentral lists this long non-coding RNA (864 nucleotides) under Homo sapiens (human). Its description in RNAcentral is "HSALNT0032363". Lineage: Eukaryota; Metazoa; Chordata; Mammalia; Primates; Hominidae. The record is from RNAcentral.
UCACAUCUGUUUCUGAAACCAGACUUUGUUAAUUAACAGUUUUAAAAUAUUAAUUAGUUUUGACAUCUUGUAAAUUUUAGGUCAAAAAUACAGUCCAGAACUUCCUCAAAGUGCUAACCUUAAGUAACAUAACAGUGUUUGCCUGUUUGCUUGCCUGGUAAAUUUUGCUUUUUAUACUGACAGACAUUACUAAUGUUUAAGUUGAUUUAUCAACAGUAUUUUUAAAAACUCAAAUUUGUCUUGUGAAAAAUGAGAUGAUUAGAGGAACAGAAAGAAAGCAACAGGUAAAGAAUUCUUCAAUUUACAUAAAUUACAAAUGAUUUGGUGCUAAAUUUAUGCACUAUGACAUUUGGCUUUUAUGCAAUCAUUUUUUUUUCUUUAAAGAUGUUAACACUACCUGAUAUUAAUCAUAAUGUUCCAUUAUGUUGAUUGCUUGUAAUAGGAAGAAAAGGGGUGUCUUCCUGUGCAACUGACACAGCUAGGCUUUGACGGCAGGCCUCCACAAGUACUAUGGACUACAAAUUUUGGAAAAUGUGAUAAAAACAAGGUGGAAGAUUCUUCCAAGGAACCAGUGCGAAGGAAUAAAAAAAUACGUUGUUGGCCUCAUUAUCAAGACGUCAUCUGACCCAACUUGUGUAGAGAAAGAAAAGGUGUAUAUCGGAAAAUUAAAUAUGAUCCUUGUUCAGAUACUGAAACAAGAAUGGCCCAAACAUUGGCCAACUUUUAUCAGUGAUAUUGUUGGAGCAAGUAGGACCAGCGAAAGUCUCUGUCAAAAUAAUAUGGUGAUUCUUAAACUCUUGAGUGAAGAAGUAUUUGAUUUCUCUAGUGGACAGAUAACCCAAGUCAAAUCUAAGCAUUUAAAAG